Long non-coding RNA from Triticum aestivum (bread wheat), 8308 nucleotides. RefSeq lists it as uncharacterized. The transcript has 17 exons. Lineage: Eukaryota; Viridiplantae; Streptophyta; Magnoliopsida; Poales; Poaceae. The record is from RefSeq and is a predicted model, not a curated record.
GUGUGUACAUCUCUUCUCCCAUUUCUUUGUCCACCGCGGAGGAGAAAACAGAUCGAGCCUGCCCUCGCGUGACCGGAGCACCGACAGCCCGUGCAUGGCCAAUGAUAGGAAGGGGAUCCUCCAGGUCUGAUUCGAGCUGCGGUUGUAUCGCCGCCCACCAGCCAGGGCGCAUCUCGCCGUCGCUGAGCUGGAAAGGCGGAGGGUGGUCGCCGGCGAGGCCACUGGUGCCGGUACAGAUAGGUGAUUUUCUUCAUAUUUUAAUUCCUUGGGGAGGUGGAUUUGAUCCUUGGGAGACGCAUGAGGCUGGAUGAGUGCGUGGAUCAAACUUUCACUGCUUGAGGCUCGCUGCAGUGGCCGAGGUUCUGGAUGUUGGUGUCUGCUGGCCGCUGCUUAGUUGCUACCCUCAUUUUUUGUGUUGUCGAACUCCUACCAUUAGUAAGUACUCCAAAAUUCCCAGCUUGAAUUCAGAAUUAGUUUUUUAAAAUUUUACUGCUAAGCGAUACUCACAUUACAACUUUCCGUGUGGAAAAGGGCAUUUGUACUUAGAGAACAGACUAAAGCGAACAUAUGGAUCCGCCUAAUUAGGUUGAUCUCAACCUAGCAAGGGUUUUUUGCAUCUAAUUUUUCUUUGACCAAAAAAAGAGGUUUACAUUUACAUUCACAUUUGCUGAGCUAGGUAGCAAAAGAAUCAGCCUGAAGUGAGACAUGCAUAACGCCGGCAAUGCUAUAUUGGCGAACAUACAAAUGCAAGGCAUCUGAAGUAGCUACACCCAUGUUCUCUUAUCUUGCUUCUGGAAUCUUAUUGACUAAUGCUAGAGUUUAAAAGUUCUGAUUCAAUGUUCGUGCCACUUCUACAAAUUUUGUAGGGCAGUACACCAAUCGUUUUGUACACUUUUUUCUUCUGAAUUAGAACAACCUUUUGCACCCCAGAGGAACCAAUCUUGUUGUCUAAUGGUAGAUUAUUGCUUAUAAUUCAUCCGUAGCACUAUGAAGUGUUUGUUUCUUUUAUUUGUUGUUACCCCGUCCUAGCAAGAAGGCCUUCAUUUAUUAAUGGUAAUCUGGUUCAUAUGUCACAUACAAUUGGUUGGAUUUCUACAUGUGUUGUAGGUGGUGCCUAUGACAUUGAAGAUUUGUUUGUUUUUGUUAAAGUAUCAUUCAAGUACAACAUCUGAAGCCUAUCAUCAUGCACAACUUACUGCAUAGUUUCAUGUGACGAAGAUGAAUCAAAACAUAAGACUUGUUCCACAUAUUUGAUCUAUAAUCGCUGGGUUUCCUGAGAUCAAUUAGCGGUGAGGGAUUUCACGGAGCAUGGACCACCGGUUGGUGAAUUUCUGGGACGAAAUCACUUUACUGGGUCUAAGCUUGUUGGUGGAAGGGCAUCAAUUCUAGGGCAGCAUAUAUCACAAAGCAGUGGUUGGCCAAGGCAGGCUAAUGGAGAACGGUUGCAUCUGAAGCACACGGGAGAGGGUGGAACAGCGGCUAUGGUCCAAGAGAGGUAUGGGGUAACGGCGACAUAUUCGUAUAAGGAGAUCGCGGGGCAAAUAAUAUAGCAGCAAGAUGAGCAGCGCCUGAGGGCGGCCACUGUUGUUACCCUCCUCAUUGUUGUUGCUGCCGGAAUCCUAUCAAAUAAGCCACGAAAUUGAGGUAUGUAGAAGAUGAACAAACCUGAGAAUUGAUGAUCGAAUGAAGAGUCGGAGCUCGAGCAUCACAUAGCCGUCAGCUAUGGUGGCUUGUGGGAGGAUGUUUCUCAGACCUAAGUUGUUGCCGCUGGACCGUGGCUACAUUCAUCAUAGCUUGGAGGAAAUGGUGCGGGAAGAUAUGCAUGUGCAGGGCGAAGAAGUGGACGAAGGCCAAAGUAGCAAUCUCUGCCUCCCUAUCGCUGCGUCCUGCUCCUCAAUAUGUCACCUUAGUCAUGGCCGCCUUAUCCCUCAUGCUGCUGAUUUGAAUCUGCCCUACUCUUCUUCUCCUAGACUGCUCGAGCGCUUCAGCGGGUGCCUUGCCGACGACAGGGAAGGAAGGACCAGAAAGCCACGAAAUUGAGGUACGCAGAAGAUGAACAAACCUGAGAACUGAUGAACCAAAGAAGAGUCGGAGCUCGAGCAUCACAUAGCUGUCAGCUAUGGUGGCUUGUAGGCGGAUGUGUCUCACACCUAAGUUUUUGCCGCUGGACCGUGGUUACAUUCAUCCUAGCUUGGAGGCAACGGUGUGGGUGGGUAUGCAUGUGCAAGGCGAAGAAGUGGACGAAGGCCAAAGAAGCAAUCUCUGCCUCCCUAUCGCUGCGUCCUGCUCCUCAAUAUGUCACCUUAGUCAUGGCCGCCUUAUCCCUCAUGCUGCUGAUUUGAAUCUGCCCUACUCUUCUUCUCCUAGACUGCUCGAGCGCUUCAGCGGGUGCCUUGCCGACGACGGGGAAGGAAGGACCAGAAAGCCACGAAAUUGAGGUACGCAGAAGAUGAACAAACCUGAGAAGUGAUGAUCGAAUGAAGAGUCGGAGCUCGAGCAUCACAUAGUCGUCAGCUAUGGUGGCUUGUGGGCGGAUGUUUCUCAGACCUAAGUUGUUGCCGCUGGACCGUGGUUACAUUCAUCCUAGCUUGGAGGAAACGGUGUGGGUGGGUAUGCAUGUGCAGGGCGAAGAAGUGGACGAAGGCCGAAGAAGCAAUCUCUGCCUCCCUAUCGCUGCGUCCUGCUCCUCAAUAUGUCACCUUAGUCAUGGCCGCCUUAUCCCUCAUGCUGCUGAUUUGAAUCUGCCCUACUCUUCUUCUCCUAGACUGCUCGAGCGCUUCAGCGGGUGCCUUGCCGACGACAGGGAAGGAAGGACCAGAAAGCCACGAAAUUGAGGUACGCAGAAGAUGAACAAACCUGAGAAUUGAUGAUCGAAUGAAGAGUCGGAGCUCGAGCAUCACAUAGUCGUCAGCUAUGGUGGCUUGUGGGCGGAUGUUUCUCAGACCUAAGUUGUUGCCGCUGGACCGUGGUUACAUUCAUCCUAGCUUGGAGGAAACGGUGUGGGUGGGUAUGCAUGUGCAGGGCGAAGAAGUGGACGAAGGCCGAAGAAGCAAUCUCUGCCUCCCUAUUGCUGCGUCCUGCUCCUCAAUAUGUCACCUUAGUCAUGGCCGCCUUAUCCCUCAUGCUGCUGAUUUGAAUCUGCCCUACUCUUCUUCUCCUAGACUGCUCGAGCGCUUCAGCGGGUGCCUUGCCGACGACAGGGAAGGAAGGACCAGAAAGCCACGAAAUUGAGGUAUGUAGAAGAUAAACAAACCUGAGAAUUGAUGAUCGAAUGAAGAGUCGGAGCUCGAGCAUCACAUAGCCGUCAGCUAUGGUGGCCUGUGGGCGGAUGUUUCUCAGACCUAAGUUGUUGCCGCUGGACCGUGGCUACAUUCAUCCUAGCUUGGAGGAAAUGGUGCGGGAAGAUAUGCAUGUGCAGGGCGAAGAAGUGGACGAAGGCCGAAGUAGCAAUCUCUGCCUCCCUAUCGCUGCGUCCUGCUCCUCAAUAUGUCACCUUAGUCAUGGCCGCCUUAUCCCUCAUGCUGCUGAUUUGAAUCUGCCCUACUCUUCUUCUCCUAGACUGCUCGAGCGCUUCAGCGGGUGCCUUGCCGACGACAGGGAAGGAAGGACCAGAAAGCCACGAAAUUGAGGUACGCAGAAGAUGAACUAACCUGAGAACUGAUGAACCAAAGAAGAGUCGGAGGUCGAGCAUCACAUAGCUGUCAGCUAUGGUGGCUUGUAGGCGGAUGUGUCUCACACCUAAGUUUUUGCCGCUGGACCGUGGUUACAUUCAUCCUAGCUUGGAGGCAACGGUGUGGGUGGGUAUGCAUGUGCAAGGCGAAGAAGUGGACGAAGGCCAAAGAAGCAAUCUCUGCCUCCCUAUCGCUGCGUCCUGCUCCUCAAUAUGUCACCUUAGUCAUGGCCGCCUUAUCCCUCAUGCUGCUGAUUUGAAUCUGCCCUACUCUUCUUCUCCUAGACUGCUCGAGCGCUUCAGCGGGUGCCUUGCCGACGACAGGGAAGGAAGGACCAGAAAGCCACGAAAUUGAGGUACGCAGAAGAUGAACAAACCUGAGAACUGAUGAUCCAAAGAAGAGUCGGAGCUCGAGCAUCACAUAGCUGUCAGCUAUGGUGGCUUGUAGGCGGAUGUGUUUCACACCUAAGUUUUUGCCGCUGGACCAUGGUUACGUUCAUCCUAGCUUGGAGGCAACGGUGUGGGUGGGUAUGCAUGUGCAAGGCGAAGAAGUGGACGAAGGCCGAAGAAGCAAUCUCUGCCUCCCUAUCGCUGCGUCCUGCUCCUCAAUAUGUCACCUUAGUCAUGGCCGCCUUAUCCCUCAUGCUGCUGAUUUGAAUCUGCCCUACUCUUCUUCUCCUAGACUGCUCGAGCGCUUCAGCGGGUGCCUUGCGGACGACAGGGAAGGAAGGACCAGAAAGCCACGAAAUUGAGGUACGCAGAAGAUGAACAAACCUGAGAACUGAUGAUCCAAAGAAGAGUCGGAGCUCGAGCAUCACAUAGCUGUCAGCUAUGGUGGCUUGUAGGCGGAUGUGUCUCACACCUAAGUUUUUGCCGCUGGACCGUGGUUACGUUCAUCCUAGCUUGGAGGCAACGGUGUGGGUGGGUAUGCAUGUGCAAGGCGAAGAAGUGGACGACGGCCGAAGAAGCAAUCUCUGCCUCCCUAUCGCUGCGUCCUGCUCCUCAAUAUGUCACCUUAGUCAUGGCCGCCUUAUCCCUCAUGCUGCUGAUUUGAAUCUGCCCUACUCUUCUUCUCCUAGACUGCUCGAGCGCUUCAGCGGGUGCCUUGCCGACGACAGGGAAGGAAGGACCAGAAAGCCACGAAAUUGAGGUACGCAGAAGAUGAACAAACCUGAGAACUGAUGAUCCAAAGAAGAGUCGGAGCUCGAGCAUCACAUAGCUGUCAGCUACGGUGGAUUGUAGGCGGAUGUGUCUCAGACCUAUGUUUUUGCCGCUGGACCGUGGUUACGUUCAUCCUAGCUUGGAGGCAACGGUGUGGGUGGGUAUGCAUGUGCAAGGCGAAGAAGUGGACGAAGGCUGAAGAAGCAAUCUCUGCCUCCCUAUCGCUGCGUCCUGCUCCUCAAUAUGUCACCUUAGUCAUGGCCGCCUUAUCCCUCAUGCUGCUGAUUUGAAUCUGCCCUAAUCUUCUUCUCCUAGACUGCUCGAGCGCUUCAGCGGGUGCCUUGCCGACGACAGGGAAGGAAGGACCAGAAAGCCACGAAAUUGAGGUACGCAGAAGAUGAACAAACCUGAGAACUGAUGAUCCAAAGAAGAGUCGGAGCUCGAGCAUCACAUAGCUGUCAGCUAUGGUGGCUUGUAGGCGGAUGUGUCUCACACCUAAGUUUUUGCCGCUGGACCGUGGUUACGUUCAUCCUAGCUUGGAGGCAACGGUGUGGGUGGGUAUGCAUGUGCAAGGCGAAGAAGUGGACGAAGGCCGAAGAAGCAAUCUCUGCCUCCCUAUCGCUGCGUCCUGCUCCUCAAUAUGUCACCUUAGUCAUGGCCGCCUUAUCCCUCAUGCUGCUGAUUUGAAUCUGCCCUACUCUUCUUCUCCUAGACUGCUCGAGCGCUUCAGCGGGUGCCUUGCCGACGACAGGGAAGGAAGGACCAGAAAGCCACGAAAUUGAGGUACGCAGAAGAUGAACAAACCUGAGAACUGAUGAUCCAAAGAAGAGUCGGAGCUCGAGCAUCACAUAGCUGUCAGCUACGGUGGAUUGUAGGCGGAUGUGUCUCAGACCUAUGUUUUUGCCGCUGGACCGUGGUUACGUUCAUCCUAGCUUGGAGGCAACGGUGUGGGUGGGUAUGCAUGUGCAAGGCGAAGAAGUGGACGAAGGCUGAAGAAGCAAUCUCUGCCUCCCUAUCGCUGCGUCCUGCUCCUCAAUAUGUCACCUUAGUCAUGGCCGCCUUAUCCCUCAUGCUGCUGAUUUGAAUCUGCCCUAAUCUUCUUCUCCUAGACUGCUCGAGCGCUUCAGCGGGUGCCUUGCCGACGACAGGGAAGGAAGGACCAGAAAGCCACGAAAUUGAGGUACGCAGAAGAUGAACAAACCUGAGAACUGAUGAUCCAAAGAAGAGUCGGAGCUCGAGCAUCACAUAGUCGUCAGCUAUGGUGGCUUGUAGGCGGAUGUGUCUCACACCUAAGUUUUUGCCGCUGGACCGUGGUUACGUUCAUCCUAGCUUGGAGGCAACGGUGUGGGUGGGUAUGCAUGUGCAGGGCGAAGAAGUGGACGAAGGCCGAAGAAGCAAUCUCUGCCUCCCUAUCGCUGCGUCCUGCUCCUCAAUAUGUCACCUUAGUCAUGGCCGCCUUAUCCCUCAUGCUGCUGAUUUGAAUCUGCCCUACUCUUCUUCUCCUAGACUGCUCGAGCGCUUCAGCGGGUGCCUUGCCGACGACAGGGAAGGAAGGACCAGACCAAGAAAUUGAGGGACGCAGAAGAUGAACAAACCUGAGAAUUGAUGAUCGAAUGAAGAGUCGGAGCUCGAGCAUCACAUAGCCGUCAGCUAUGGUGGCUUGUGGGCGGAUGUUUCUCAGACCUAAGUUGUUGCCGCUGGACCGUGGUUACAUUCAUCCUAGCUUGGAGGAAACGGUGCGGGAAGAUAUGCAUGUGCAGGGCGAAGAAGUGGACGAAGGCCGAAGUAGCAAUCUCUGCCUCCCUAUCGCUGCGUCCUUCUCCUCAAUAUGUCACCUUAGUCAUGGCCGCCUUAUCCCUCAUGCUGCUGAUUUGAAUCUGCCCUACUCUUCUUCUCCUAGACUGCUCGAGCGCUUCAGCGGGUGCCUUCCCAACGACAGGGAAGGAAGGACCAGAAAGCCAAGAAAUUGAGGUACGCAGAAGAUGAACAAACCUGAGAACUGAUGAUCGAAUGAAGAGUCGGAGCUCGAGCAUCACAUAGCCGUCAGCUAUGGUGGCUUGUGGGCGGAUGUUUCUCAGACCUAAGUUGUUGUCGCUGGACCGUGGUUACAUUCAUCCUAGCUUGGAGGCAACGGUGUGGGUGGGUAUGCAUGUGCAGGGCGAAGAAGUGGACGAAGGCCGAAGAAGCAAUCUCUGCCUCCCUAUCGCUGCGUCCUGCUCCUCAAUAUGUCACCUUAGUCAUGGCCGCCUUAUCCCUCAUGCUGCUGAUUUGAAUCUGCCCUACUCUUCUUCUCCUAGACUGCUCGAGCGCUUCAGCGGGUGCCUUGCCGACGACAGGGAAGGAAGGACCAGACCAAGAAAUUGAGGUACGCAGAAGAUGAACAAACCUGAGAACUGAUGAUCCAAAGAAGAGUCGGAGCUCGAGCAUCACAUAGCCGUCAGCUAUGGUGGCUUGUAGGCGGAUGUGUCUCAGACCUAAGUUUUUGCCGCUGGACCGUGGUUACGUUCAUCCUAGCUUGGAGGCAAUGGUGCGGGUGGGUAUGCAUGUGCAGGGCGAAGAAGUGGACGAAGGCCGAAGUAGCAAUCUCUGCCUCCCUAUCGCUGCGUCCUGCUCCUCAAUAUGUCACCUUAGUCAUGGCCGCCUUAUCCCUCAUGCUGCUGAUUUGAAUCUGCCCUACUCUUCUUCUCCUAGACUGCUCGAGCGCUUCAGCGGGUGCCUUCCCAACGACAGGGAAGGAAGGACCAGAAAGCCACGAAAUUGAGGUACGCAGAAGAUGAACAAACCUGAGAACUGAUGAUCCAAAGAAGAGUCGGAGCUCGAGCAUCACAUAGCUGUCAGCUAUGGUGGCUUGUAGGCGGAUGUGUCUCAGACCUAAGUUUUUGCCGCUGGACCGUGGUUACGUUCAUCCUAGCUUGGAGGCAACGGUGUGGGUGGGUAUGCAUGUGCAAGGCGAAGAAGUGGACGAAGGCCGAAGAAGCAAUCUCUGCCUCCCUAUCGCUGCGUCCUGCUCCUCAAUAUGUCACCUUAGUCAUGGCCGCCUUAUCCCUCAUGCUGCUGAUUUGAACCUACCCUACUCUUCUUCUCCUAGACUGCUCGAGCGCUUCAGCGGUGCCUCGCUGACGACAGGGAAGGAAGGAUCAGAAGUGACGGCUAUAGCCCUAGGAAUUUGGAAACCAUAGGAAUUGAUCUUCUUUAUAAAACGUGUGUGGCAAGGGACGUGGAACCUGCUUCAGGGAAGACGAGAUGGAUCAUGUGAGAGAAGGGACCAGUUUUUUUUGCCAAUUGCCUAGUCCAUAUUGUCCAUGUAUUCGAAGCAUGCAAACGUGUGGCUCCUGGAGUUUGUAUUGCUCUUGGAUAUGUGUAAGCGUUUGGUUUUUUAUUUUUCCCUUUUUUGCUUUCCAAUUCGGACAUGCAUCAGUUCGUACCUGAUUGUAUUAGACUCAAACAAUACGUGUCCAAGUUUUAUUGCUCUUGGAU